Molecule: long non-coding RNA, 1827 nt
Filed under: Brassica napus (rape)
Lineage: Eukaryota; Viridiplantae; Streptophyta; Magnoliopsida; Brassicales; Brassicaceae
Description: long non-coding RNA (BNAP_LNC006931)
Source: RNAcentral
CCUCCAUUGCUCUAUGUUCUUUUCUUUCCUACAUUAUCGCAUAUGUAGGCUCCACGGGAACUUUUAAAAUCCAGUCCGAAGCCAAUGAAUAAAGUAUUGUUAUCUUUUCAAUUUCUUUAAAAUAAAUAAAUGUAACAUUAUGGUUAAAGUUACUUAUUAACACCAAUGAGGUAGGUUAGAACAUCUUUAAUAGAAGAACACAUGUUAGAAUAAAACUCUCAAUCUCUAUUUUUUUUUUCUAUUUUAGAGAUCUCUUUUAUAGAGAUGAGUUGGAGAUGGUCUUAGUGAUUAUAAUAUAUAAUCUCUCUUCUUAAAAAAAUCUAAGAUGUUUUUGGAUGAAAUCAUAAAUAUUUAGGAAGUUGCUUUUACUUAAAAAGUAUCAAUAAAAAUAUUGAUUAAAAUCAAUCUAACUAAUUAUAAAAUAAACUAUAAAAUGUAACUGGUUACACAAUUUUUAAUAAAAUUAAAAGUUAUUUAAGAAAUUAUAAAUAUUUUAUAUUUUGAAACAUCAAAAAUUCAUUUAAACAUCUUACAUUAUAAAAUAGAGUGAGUAUUAUUUAGUAUACAAAUUCAAACCUCAUUGAAAAAUGUUUAAAUUACAUUGUUUGAAUCUCACAUAGAUGAUAUACGGCCGAAAAACCUCAUAUUGACAACAGCUAUAUUAAAAAUACAUAUCAACGACAUGAAUCUAACGAGUCAACACAAUAAAGUUGUAUAUAGAAGACUUAAAAAUGGCAAAGGAAAUAGACGAAAUAAGAGGCUUUGAAUGGUGAUUGUCGUCCCGCCCCGCCCCGCAGUUAACAGUAACAAAAAUUUCUACAUAUACUAUAUAUCUAUAUAUUUUUAUAACUGUUAAAACCGCAGCACAGUUGAACCGCUUGUCCCGCACCACUCAAAUCGCAGUCACCAUUCGAAGCUAUUUAGUAAGUUCUUCUUCACUUUUAUAUAUAUGGAUUAUCAGGUUUAAACCGUAUCAACGAUAUGACUUCAGAUGAAGUGACUACAAACUUAAUACAGUAUUGAACAAUUUCUUUAAUAAUGAAAUUUUAAAAUAUUGUGUUCCAAAUAGAUUGUAUAUAUCAGCUAUUGUCCAUAUGCAUGCGAUAGAAAUCUUGUCCCUCGAUGCCGCCAGUAGUCGUGCCAUCGGCGUUAUGUACGUUCUGACAUCACCAAACUCAUUCAAAAGCCAUAAAAUAUUUACGUUAUGGCCUAUGGUCCUACGGAUACCAUAUAAUAUUAUGUGCAUACGUUGAGACUUACGCUAGAGAUUACGUGUAUUUAAGUUACUAUUUACAUUUAUAUGGGUUCGAGUUCCUAGGUUGUGUCAUGGAUAAACGUCCAUAAAUUGAUACAUAAUUCACCGAUACAUGUUAAAAUCAUGCAAGGUAUGACCGUAACUGCAAUAGCAGAUCCUGCCUUGUCGCAUAUGUUGUAAACACAUGGUCCAUCGUUCCUACUGUUUAGUUUAUUAGUUACAUAGGAAUUUGUCUUGUUUCAAAAAAAAAAACAAAAGAAAAAGGAAUUUGUCUAUAUUCCUCACGAAGUGCCGAAUAAUUACAGUGAUAUGCUAAAAAAGUUCACGAUACAAACCUACAAAUACUAAAAGAAAACCUCCAAAUAUUAGAUCAAUAAGUUCAUAUACAUUUUGAAAUCAUUUGAUUAUUUUCUUUAAGAAAAAAUGACAUAUAACGAAAAAUGGGAAUAAAAAUAUGAUAGAAUAGAAUUAACAUUUAGACCAUCUCCAAUCACACUCUAUAAUUUCCUCUAUAUUUCACUCUAAAAUAGAGUAACUCUAUUAUAGAGUUGAAUUUGUUCCAAUGAUUCACU